UUUUUUUCUUUUUUUUUUUUUUUUUGGCUAUGCUCUUAGCAUGCAGAAGUUCCCAGACCAGGGAUGGAGCCCAAACCACAGGAGUGACCAUGCUGAAUCCUUAACUGCUAGGCCACCAAGGAACUUCAAGUUUCUUUGUUCAUAUGAAAAUAUUGGUUCUUGUGAGCAGUGUUCACAUAAAAGAACAAUGAACAGUAUAGACAGACUUUUUAGAGGCUUGGAGAGAUAGAUUAAAAAAAAUAGCUGCAGGUGUUUUUGAGAGAGUCGGUGUCUCUCCCCUUGAGUGUGGGCUGAUCUUGGUGACUCGUUGAUCAACAGACUGUGGCAGAAGUAAUGGUAUGGGACUCUCGAGGCUAGGUCACAAGAAGCCUUGUGGCAUGACAGGCCUCUCGGAGCCCUGAGUCACCAUGUAUAAACCCAACUGCCACGUGGCCCUGAAACCACAUGGAGAGGGGAGAGCGGGAAAGGGAGCAGCUGGGCUCAGCCUCCAACCAUCCCUACCAAGCCAUCGUGGACCCUAGGGACCAGCCCAGACAUCACCUGAAUGUCCCCAAGCAGUUCCAGUGGUACUGUGUGGGGCAGAAAAUUUGCCCUGCUGAUCCCCGCCUGGAUCCCGGAUACAGAAUUGUGAGAGAAAAUAAAAUGGUGGCGGUUUUAAUUCCCCAAGUUUUGGGUUAGUUAAACAGCGAAAACACUUGGGAGUGCUGCGCUUGUGGGCUUUUUCUUCCAACGUGAUGCACUUCCAAACAGUAUUAGGGAGGUAGGGUUUUAAGGCAUCGACAUCUAGGAAGGUAGCCUAGCCUAAUAAGGAGCUACGAUAAUCUAGAAAAUAAUUUAAACGUUACCUUUUUCUAGUUGCCUUCUCAAAAAAGGUGGUACUCUUCGGGGUGGUUUUUCAACUUUAUCCUCUUUUAUUGGCUUUUCCAUCAGAACAGUCACUUCUUUAAGUGCUUCCUGGGAAGGCUGGACAAUUGGAUAGGCUGGGACCCAAUCAAAUUCUUUUACCUCCCCUUUCCCUGCCGGAGAUUUCAGGAAAGCGGGGGAGGCUCGGGUAGAGAGCUUCUGAGUCCUCCUUGACCGUUUCUUUGCUCCCUGAGUUCUCUCCCUCAAGUCAUGUGAUCUCAAUGUCCCUCUGCCUCUUUGCCCAGGCCACCCUGUGCGUUUUGGUCUCAGUGUGUGCGUUUUCUGGCUCUUUCCAGUUGUGUUCAUGCUUCCCCAGGGUUAGUACUUUGGGGGGAAGUAUUUCACUUGGGAUCUUCUGAGAGAGUGGUUGAUACUCGUGGUCUUUGAGGCCCACUAGCUCGUUCUGCUCCAUGUACGUGUUUAUCUGGUUCAGCUCCCUCUCAGGCACUAGAUAGUACCGUUUUUUUCGCAUCUUCUGCUUUUCCAUUCUGUGGUCUCUUUUCCUCCGUCUUAAUUUCCCAUUUUGGAAUCAUUUUGUACGCGCCUGCUGCUUCCAGCAUCACGUCCUGGCAGUGUUGAUGGUGGCAUGCCUCUGCUUGGGCAACGCAGAGGGCAAAAGACUCGGCCUUCAGUUUAUGAAGUCUUUCCUUCUCCUGUUGAAUCUUUUGGGCUAACAGUUUCCUCAUGUCUGAAGCAUGGACACCACCUAAACUCUUGUCAAAGGGAAGUAUUAGAACUCUUUAAGUUGGCCGUCUUUUAUUACAAAUAUAGUCCAAGGCACAGAUCUCCAGCGGGUAUCAGCUCUGCCUGGCACUCUGACUCCGUGUCCCAGUUAGGGUCUCAACAGUUUCCCGUCUUCCUCACGAGACCGCCAGCCCCUGCUUUUCCUCCUAGGUGAAGAUUGUGCCUUAGAUACUCACGAGAAAGCAGAAGCAGUCACAGAAACACCCCCCUGCACGACCCCAGACUCUGCCUUUCCGUCUUUACCCCGGGGACAGUGCCGCUUCGCCUGCCGAGCAAAAGCCGGUUCUUCCUCCUGCGCUUGUUGAGCUUCAAGACCCGCAAGUUACAGUGAUCAGACUCCCUCUCCUGCUUCAAAAUUUCCCGUCUGCCGGAUCACUGCAUUGGCAUCAAAGUACGCUUCCGUAUGUAUCAUCUUGAAACAAAAAAGGAAAACUCUUCCUUUGCUGCACCUCCCUUUUGCACCCCCUUCGCAGUGACCCCCCCCCACUUUCUGGUCUCACAUUUCCCCCUCUGUCUUCUUCAGUUCGCCUUCCAUCCCCUGCCACUUGUCCGAGGCUGCUCUCAUCCAGGUCGCCAGCGGUUUCAUUUCUGUCCCUGUCACAUUUCUCGGCAGCCCUCUACAGCGUGCUCCUUGAGAAUGCUUUCAUUUUUCCCAGCUUCCAAGAUCUGUGACUGUCUUGGACCCCCCCCUAUGCUACUUCAGCCCUGAGUGUCCCCAAGGGACUGGAGAGCCCCUAGUUCACUUCCGGCCUCCUGGCCACCUCCCCACCUGCUUUGCCAGUUAUCUUGAAAUGGAAUGUAGGAAAACGUUGCAGAGGAGCCAUCGGUUAGGUUAGAGCGUGGUCACAUUCAGGCUGUCCUGGGACAAGAAGAGUCCCGAUCAUUCAACAAUGGAUGCGGGGGGCGGGGGGGGGGAUGAGUGAGACGACGAGGUGGGGGCUGCCCGUGCGCCUCAACCUCAGGCCCAGAGACCACCGCCUCCACUCGACUUUUCCUCCAAAGUGUUUCUGGCCGGUUCCCCUUCUCAAUCCUGUCACUGCCAACUCCAAAAUGCCCCACCCCCUAGGGUAGCAGCCUGUACCUGGCUUCCCCGAAUUUCUGCUCUCCCUCUGUCCCCAGCUCCACUGACACGUCGCACAGAAGCCAGAAUGAUCUUUGCGUUACCUACAUCCACGCACACCAUCACUUUCCUGCGUACAAACCUGGGAUAGUGUCCUACUGCUUUUAGGAGAAAACCCC
This 2886-nucleotide long non-coding RNA is filed under the name Sus scrofa (pig). RNAcentral's name for it is "lncRNA (ENSSSCG00030042550.1)". Lineage: Eukaryota; Metazoa; Chordata; Mammalia; Artiodactyla; Suidae. The record is from RNAcentral.